AGGGUUCGAUUAUGGCUCAGAACGUACGCUGGCGGCACGCCUAACACAUGCAAGUCGAACGAAGUAGCAAUACUUAGUGGCAGACGGGUGAGUAACAUGUAGGUAUCUACCCUUUGGCCUGGAAUAACACGAGGAAACUUGUGCUAAUACCGGAUAAGUCUUUACGGAGAAAGCUUUAUGCACCAUUGGAUGAGCCUGCACUUGAUUAGUUUGUUGGUGGGGUAAUGGCCUACCAAGACUGUGAUCAAUGGCUGAUUUGAGAGGAUGAUCAGCCACAUUGGGACUGAGACACGGCCCAAACUCCUACGGGAGGCAGCAGUGGGGAAUCUUGCACAAUGGAGGAAACUCUGAUGCAGCGAUGCCGCGUGAGUGAAGAAGGCCUUUGGGUUGUAAAGCUCUUUCGUCGGGGAAGAAAAUGACUGUACCCGAAUAAGAAGGUCCGGCUAACUUCGUGCCAGCAGCCGCGGUAAUACGAAGGGACCUAGCGUAGUUCGGAAUUACUGGGCUUAAAGAGUUCGUAGGUGGUUGAAAAGGUUAGUGGUGAAAUCCCAGAGCUUAACUCUGGAACUGCCAUUAAAACUUUUCAGCUAGAGUAUGAUAGAGGAAAGCAGAAUUUCUAGUGUAGAGGUGAAAUUCGUAGAUAUUAGAAAGAAUACCAAUUGCGAAGGCAGCUUUCUGGAUCAUUACUGACACUGAGGAACGAAAGCAUGGGUAGCGAAGAGGAUUAGAUACCCUCGUAGUCCAUGCCGUAAACGAUGUGUGUUAGACGUKGGAAAUUUAUUUUCAGUGUCGCAGCGAAAGCGAUAAACACACCGCCUGGGGAGUACGACCGCAAGGUUAAAACUCAAAUGAAUUGACGGGGACCCGCACAAGUAGUGGAGCAUGUGGUUUAAUUCGAAGAUACGCGCAGAACCUUACCAACACUUGACAUGUUCGUCGCGACUCUAAGAGAUUAGAGUUUUCGGUUCGGCCGGACGAAACACAGGUGCUGCAUGGCUGUCGUCAGCUCGUGUCGUGAGAUGUUGGGUUAAGUCCCGCAACGAGCGCAACCCUCACUUUUAGUUGCCAUCAUUUAGUUGGGCACUCUGAAAGAACUGCCAGUGAUAAGCUGGAGGAAGGUGGGGAUGACGUCAAGUCCUCAUGGCCCUUACGUGUUGGGCUACACACGUGCUACAAUGGUAUCUACAACAGGAAGCAAGACUGCGAGGUCAAGCAAAUCCUUAAAAGAUACCUCAGUUCGGAUUGCACUCUGCAACUCGAGUGCAUGAAGCUGGAAUUACUAGUAAUCGUGGAUCAGCGUGCCACGGUGAAUGCGUUCCCGGGUCUUGUACACACCGCCCGUCACACCAUGGGAGUUGGUUCUACCUUAAGGCAAGGUUUAAAACCCUUGACCACGGUAUAGUCAGCGACUGGGGUGAAGUCGUAACAAGGUAGCC
RNAcentral lists this ribosomal RNA (1436 nucleotides) under uncultured Candidatus Pelagibacter sp. RNAcentral describes it as "bacterial SSU rRNA". It matches the Rfam family "Bacterial small subunit ribosomal RNA". Lineage: Bacteria; Pseudomonadati; Pseudomonadota; Alphaproteobacteria; Candidatus Pelagibacterales; Candidatus Pelagibacteraceae. The record is from RNAcentral.